RNAcentral lists this long non-coding RNA (851 nucleotides) under Elaeis guineensis (African oil palm). Its description in RNAcentral is "long non-coding RNA (EGUI_LNC043507)". Lineage: Eukaryota; Viridiplantae; Streptophyta; Magnoliopsida; Arecales; Arecaceae. The record is from RNAcentral.
GUUGUCCAGCUAUGCAACCCAAGAGGGGGGGGGUGAAUUAGGUUUUUNNNNNNNNNNNNNNNNNNNNGUCGAGUGCUUGUAUGAAUAUCUUCAUCCGAGCUUUCCAAUAGGUGUAAUUAGACCCAUUGAAAAGUGGAGGUCGGUUUGUAGAUUGCACCUCGGCUAGAGAAGUACCGACAUGGGUUGCCAUAGAUCUUUGGCUCUUUGAUUGUUAGAUCAAAGAAGGGCUAUAGCACCGGGCUCUGAUACCACUUGUUGCCCAGCUAUGCAACCCAAGAGGGGGGGUGAAUUAGGUUUUUAAAAAAUUUAAGCUUAACUAAUUACUUAUGAAAAGUAUUUGUUAAAAGCUUGAUGAAUGAGAAGAAAGACUUUAAUUCAAGAUUAAUUACCUAAAGCAAGAAUGCAAGGAUAUAAUAAAGAAAUAAAGAGAAACAAUAAAGCACACCACAAACACAAGGAUUUAUAGUGGUUCAGUGCCAACCUUGCACCUACAUCCACUCCCCAAGCUCCUACUUGGGAAUUCCAAUCCACUAUACUUGUAUUCAACCUGAAUACAAACAUCGAAAACUCUGACACUAGCUAUCCCAAGCUAGUCCACUUGUAUUUCGGGUACAAGCCAACCCAAAACACUCCGAUUUCAGGUUCGGAUCAACCUUCCCUUGUUUUGGAAACCCUCCAAAAAAUAAGAACAAUUACUCACAAAGAGUAAGACAGUUUAGAGCAUAAAUAAGUACAAGAAUAGCUCCUUAAAUGAGCGAAUAUAACAAUAAAAAUACUUUACUCAAAUGAAGAAUCCCCUUUUGGAUUUUCUCAAGGUGGAUGAACGCUUGAGGAGGAGAAGGUGAACUUUG